RNAcentral lists this ribosomal RNA (557 nucleotides) under proteobacterium RDB-121. RNAcentral's name for it is "bacterial SSU rRNA". It matches the Rfam family "Bacterial small subunit ribosomal RNA", at positions 102 to 694 of the family's 1533-position model. The record is from RNAcentral. RNAcentral also lists the same sequence under 2 other names. Lineage: Bacteria; Pseudomonadati; Pseudomonadota.
ACGGGUGAGUAACACGUGGGAACGUACCCUUUUCUACGGAAUAACCCAGGGAAACUUGGACUAAUACCGUAUGUGCCCUUCGGGGGAAAAAUUUAUCGGAAAAGGAUCGGCCCGCGUUGGAUUAGCUAGUUGGUGGGGUAAAGGCCUACCAAGGCGACGAUCCAUAGCUGGUCUGAGAGGAUGAUCAGCCACAUUGGGACUGAGACACGGCCCAAACUCCUACGGGAGGCAGCAGUGGGGAAUAUUGGACAAUGGGCGCAAGCCUGAUCCAGCCAUGCCGCGUGAGUGAUGAAGGCCUUAGGGUUGUAAAGCUCUUUCACCGGAGAAGAUAAUGACGGUAUCCGGAGAAGAAGCCCCGGCUAACUUCGUGCCAGCAGCCGCGGUAAUACGAAGGGGGCUAGCGUUGUUCGGAUUUACUGGGCGUAAAGCGCACGUAGGCGGAUCGAUCAGUCAGGGGUGAAAUCCCAGAGCUCAACUCUGGAACUGCCUUUGAUACUGUCGAUCUGGAGUAUGGAAGAGGUGAGUGGAAUUCCGAGUGUAGAGGUGAAAUUCGUAGA